GCCUGUAUUUUCAGUUUUUUGUCGAACGUAAUAACUCUUCCAGGAUAUGACCUAAAUCCCUUCCCGGAUCUUUUCUCCAACAGGCUCGCUCUGGCUAGUCCUCUGGACAAGUCUCUUUGUCGACCACGCCGGCUUCCUCCUCCUCUUCCUUCGCGGGCGCCUGGUCCUCACUACCGGUUCCUUAUCACAUUUGCCGAUCUGAAGUGCAGUCGUCGUCCCGCCUCCGCCUCAGAUGUCGUCCCGCCUCCGACGCAGACGUCUCCCUACGCCGCCUCGUAAGGAUGCUUUGGAGCACCUGGCAUCAAUUGAUCUACUGGAAUUAUGCAAUGAGGCUAAAGUAGAGCGUUGCAGGGCCACUAGGGAUCUGAGUAGCUGUGGCCGCUACGUUCAAGAUGUACUGAACUCAUGUGGACAUGCCUCUUUGUGUGCUGAAUGUAGCAAGAGAUGUGACAUGUGUCCAAUUUGCAGAACUUCUCUCCCAGUCAAUGGAAAUAGAUUAAGACCUCGUCUUUAUUAUGAAUGUGCUAGUGCUGGCCUUAUUUCUAAGAAACAUGCAGACAGAUUUCAGGAGAAGGAUGAUAGCAAAGAUCAUUUUCUGGCUAUUCAACGCUUGUAUUCCCUCUUUGAUGUUGCACUAGAUAACAACCUUGCAUCUUUGAUUUGCCAUUAUGUUACAGAUGUCUGUAUGGAUGAGAAUGCUGUAUCUAGUGACCCUGUUAUUUCUUUCUUAUUGGAUGAAGUGGUUGUGAAGGACUGGUGCAAGCAAAGAUUCAAGGGCAUAAUUCAUGAUCUUCAGAUAACAUAUAGGCUUGAUUUGAAAGGAAUGAAGUCAAACUUGUGUUCAUUUCAAAAGUUAGCAUCACAAUUAAAUGGUGUAUCUAAUAUUCUUGAGGUCAUGGUUUCUUCAUUCAAGGACAAUCUCUCAGCUCAGUUGAAUGACUUGCACUUCCUUCUGAGCAGCACGCUGAAGACGAAACAGCAUUUGGAGAUCAUGAUUUGGUGCAUUCAGCAUGAUUUCCUUGAGAAUGUGCAGUCGUGCUAUCCUGACUAUCAAUCAUGGGCAUCACAUGCUCAGGAAAGGAAGUCAGCAGCUAUUAAGCAAUCCUGGCCUGAUAGUUCAAGUUAUUUGGCAUAUUAUGGUGAUCGAUCUGAGCCUGCAUUAUUUAUUGAGCAGGCAUUGUCCAAUCUUGAAAUAGAAGAAUGCUUCGGAGAUAAGCAUGAUGAAAUAGAUGUGUUUUGCUUGCAGGACACAAAUUCUCCCGUAAUGUUUUCAUCUAAAAUUAAUGAGUCUUACAGGAAUCAUGCAUCAGCGUGUUACCCUUUUAAACAAGCACGAGCUGCUGUGGAUGCUAUAUUUUUACACGGAGCUUCUGAUAUGGUGAUUGCAAAAAGAGCUAUAUUCUUAUAUUAUUUAUUUGACCGGCAUUGGACUUUACCAGAUGCAGAAUGGAGGUAUGUAGUUGAUGAUUUUGCCUCGUCAUUUGGUAUAGGCAGACUUCAACUACUGGAAUCUUUGAUGUUUUAUCUUCUCGAUGAUCACACGGAUCAGGCCUUGCAGGAAGCUUGCACUCUUCUUCCAGAAAUUGCUUGCCCAGACAUACAUCCUAAGGUGGCAGAAGUUUUAUUAGAACGGCGACGUCCUGAAGUUGCGCUUACUGUUUUAAGAUGUACGGGGCAUGAUGGCUUCAGCAGAUAUGAUAGUUCUGAGGAUGAUGGUGGGAAGAUUGUGUCACUUGAUGAAGCAGUGACUGUUCUUCGUGUAAGAAUUGAAUGUGGGCUCUUGACAGAAGCCUUUAUGUAUCAAAGAAUGUACUCCCAUAACCUGAAGGAAUUCAUAUCCAGACAUGGAGAUCUUUUAUCUUUCAACGCUCUAAAGCCUGACUCAUGGAUACACCAUAUGGAAAUACUGGUGAUUGAAAUGUGCUUGCUCUGUAUACGGAGGAACCUUAUUGAUAGGAUGAUUGAAUUGCCUUGGGAUUCUACGGAAGAAAAGUAUAUCCACAAAUGUCUCCUAGAACAAGCUUAUCAAAGUCCUCCAUCUAUCUGUGGCAGCCUUCUUAUGGUGUUCUAUCUUCAGCGAUGUAGAUACAUUGAAGCUUGUCAAGUACAUCGUGAGCUCCUAAAUUUGGAGCAGAACUGUUUAGAAAAUAUGGAUGGGGAUGUUGAAAGAGAAAUGAAAUCAGUAUCCCUUUGGAGAUCUUCUUUAGUAGACAAAUGUCUAGAUCUGCUUCCUGAGGUUCAACGUAAACGCAUAAUGACAGGAAAUGCCACUGAAUCUGGCCCAUCAUUUAACCAGGAUGAUCAAAUGGAAGUGGAGUCUACUUCUGAGUUGCUACUGGAUCCUGCUAAUGCUUCAACUCCAUGCAGGAAGUCACCAUCUCUUGUUCUUCACACUGAUCUGAAUAAUUUUCCUUCAAAAAAGGCUUCAGUAGAAGCACCCAUUAAGUUAUUUGGCAGUGUUAGCAAUACUUAUAUGGACAUUUCCAGAAGGGAGCCAUCUAUUCAACAGAGGCAUUUGACUUCCUUUGGUAGUCCUCAAAAUGGUUCUCAGGUUAAGUCCUUGAAUGAGCUGAAUACAAGUCCAUUCCACGUGUCUUUGUUUGGCCAGUAUUUUAAUGGAAAUAAUGGUCCCCAUUCAAUGAAGUCUUAUGAUUCUGUAAGACGCAGUGAUAAUUCCAUUGUGCUUGAAACAAGAUUAACUUCUCAGGAUUACACGGAUCUUGUUAAUGUUUCUAAUGACCACAGUUCUCUCAUAAAUGCAAUUCAUGAAGAGCCCCAGAGAAGAUCAGGAAAGCAGAACCACGUAGAUGGUCCCUGGAGCAUGUUCAACCCUACGGAAUCAACUCAAGUUUGGAGCGUUGAAAAAAGGGAUUCUCCAAAUGAACAGUUGAUCAUGAAAGUGGGCUCAAAGUGGAGAUCUGAUGAAUCCAGCGAAGAUGAAGCAAACCAGAUUUAUAAACAUCCUGGUGGUGGGUCUUCGUUUCCCUUGAGAGGAAGAACAAGGCGCUUCAGGAGAUAAUAUUUUGUGAAAUACAAGCACCACUGAAUUAUUUUGCAUCUUGGAUUGUGAUCCUCGUGUACCCUCGCUACCAGAUUUAGGUUUGUUAUAUCUGAAGAUUGGAGGAAAAUGAAUGAGAUGAUGUCUGAUGAUCGGAGUUUUCAGGAUUUUGUUGCGCAGAUUGUAGUGCAUCUGUUUAAAAAAUUAAAAUGCUUUGACGUUUAGGGUUGUUGUAUAUGCUGGUGCUAAAAAUAAUCCAUCUGAUUUCUGCAGAUGUAUAAGUUUUUGAGCAUUAUAUGUUGAUAAUGCAAAUCCAGAAGCAGAUCAUAGAUAACGGAAACGGUAUGUAAAAUUUCCAAUAUUUUUUAGGAUAGCAGAUGGAUAGAGCAUUCGUACACCGCAGCAAAUGAAAUUCGGAGAUUUUGGCUUUU
This is an RNA transcript of Dendrobium catenatum, 3429 nucleotides long. It is a transcript of the gene named E3 ubiquitin-protein ligase HOS1, with no coding region annotated. The record is from RefSeq and is a predicted model, not a curated record. NCBI's taxonomy places the organism in Eukaryota, Viridiplantae, Streptophyta, Magnoliopsida, Asparagales, Orchidaceae. The transcript is spliced from 9 exons.